Non-coding RNA from Lolium perenne, 834 nucleotides. The record is from RefSeq and is a predicted model, not a curated record. Lineage: Eukaryota; Viridiplantae; Streptophyta; Magnoliopsida; Poales; Poaceae.
ACCUCAAGGACCUCUACAUCAACACUGUAAUGUUCGAGUUGAUGGCUUGUGGCAUGUUUGAGGUUACUGUUUUAUGGCAGGGGGUCAUGUUGAAAUCACUCCCUUACUUAGACACACCUGGUAUAACUGCAUAUGUAUCAGUUUUUUCUGUUUUCCAUUGCUGCUAAUUAACAUGUAGUACUACAUGAGAAAGAAUAGAUUUAUUAGUUGUUUCCUCGCAUGAUUAAUUUGUUCUCGCAUUUCCAUGUGUCUGUAACUCAUCCUUGUAACUUAAAAAUACUGUUAUGUUUUAGAGUCAGAGAAGUCGAUAUGUCAUUACACCAACUUAGUUCAGAACUUCAUAUGUUUAUAUCUUGCAGCCAAGUAUCCCCUUAAUGCUAUCAAGCUACUUCAAAUUCCUAUUGAACGGAAAGGUGACGGAUGAACAGGAUGUGCGAGCUUCUUUAACUGGUGGUAGUCGGAUGCGAUGGUGGAGCAGUAUGCCUCGUAGCAGAUUUGUUGUCUUUCCCUCUCGUGAAGGGGAGAAGUGGAGGGGAGGUAGCCAGGAGUGAGGGAGCCAUGGAUGCAGGUUCCGGCCGGCCAGGCAUGCUUUUUGUUUGUUUAUUUAUUCCACAGAUGUUGGAACCAGUUAGGUACUAUGCGAUGUGGGUCGAUACAGUGGGUUGAUGCUCUCUUGGCUAUAGCAUCUUCAACUAUUCUUUUCCCGUGCUAGAUCAAUUGGCCUGUAACAUCUUAUUUUACCUGUUAGAUUCUGCUGUGUGAGGUUGUUUACUUAAGACAAACUACUUUGUAACCUUUAGUCCUGAAGGUGUCGAGUACAUUUAAAUAUCACAA